ACUUGAAACCAAAGCGUGUCAUUAAGACAGGAGGUCAGGUCACAACUAAGCCCCCUCUAAAAACCACGCACCAUCCUGUGACUGGGAAUUAGCAGGUCCCAGCCCUCCCGGGAUCACCAGCCUUUUGUUUCAGGACAACUGUGUUGACAUUUUGUUUGUGCGCUAACAAAGUUUGCCUGGAGAUCAGAGUGAGGAGCUAGCCACUAGUUAAUAACCAUAGAGGCCAGGCAGGGAUGGCACACACCUUUAAUCCCAGCACUUGGGAGGAGGAAGCAGGAAGGUCAAAAGUUCAAAGCCACCCUGGGCUACAUGAGAUUGAUCCAGUCUACAAGAGAAACAGAGCCAGGUGAUGGAAGCUCACGCCUUUAAUCCCAGCACUAGGGAGGUGGAGACAGGAAUACACGGUGGGAGGGACAGAAGUGCAGCCCCUUCUCCAUCUGAGGAGUCGUGGAGGUAAGAGGUGACUUUGACUGCUCUUUUACGUCUCCGAUCUUUCAGCAUUUACCCCGAUAUCUGGCUCCGGGUUUUUAUUAUUAAGACCAAUUAGAAUUCGCACUACACGCAACUCUUCUUCGCUGUUCCCACAGGACAGAGAGCCACCCUGUUUCUUAAUUCCACAGUACUGUAUUAGAAACACUCAUGCCAUCACGGUAGUCUGAGAGGCAGCUCCCUGCACACUGCAGGCUUAGGACCUGACCCUGGCUGUGCCCAUUGCUGUACUCUCUAGGCAGCAGAUAAGUGGGUCGAGACCAGAGAAGGCGGCUGCCCUUUGUGGUCUGAUCUCGGGUGUGUUGCCUCAGUGAGAAGGUGGGCUGCUUAGAGUUACCUGGAAAUGGAACUGUGGCCAGGCCAGGCCCAGGCCCCUUUAAGAUUCUGGAGGGGAGGUAGGUUGUACGGAAAGUCUGUAACGUGUGGAGUCUUAUUGGGAAGAAAUGAAAAAAUGCAUUCAUAAGCAGGAAAAAUUAGAGGAACUUUUAUAUUUUAUUUUUAUAAUUACAAUUUUAUAAUUAAUGAACUUCUCGUGUAGAGAAAGGGGGUGCCCACAUGGCACAGUGCACGUGUGGAGGUCAGAGGACAACUUGCUCUAGUCCAGAGGUUCUCAACCUUCCUGAUGCUGCGACCCUUUAACACAGUCCCUCAUGCUGUGGGGACCCCCAACCAUACACUUAUUUUCAUUGCUAUUUCAGAGCUGUAAUUUUGCUACUGUUAUGAAUUGUAAUAUAAAGUUCUGAUCUACAAGAUUAUGUGGCUCCCUGUGGAAGGGUUGUUCAAACCCCCAAAGGGGUCACAACCCACACAUUGAGAACCACUGCUGUAGCUGAUUUUUUUUUUUUUUCUUUCCACCAUGUGAAUCACAGAGAAUCAAACUUAGGUUGUCAGUCAGACUUGGCAGCAAGCAUCGUUACCAGCUAAGAAUUUCUAAUACUCAAAAAUGAUUAACAACCAGAGUGUGUGUGUGUGUGUGUGUGUGUGUGUGUGUGUGUGAUUUAUUAUUACAAAAACCGAAACUCCUCUGUGAGCUUUCUAAUUAUACAUAUGUAAGAUGAAAACAAAUAAUACAGGUAUAUUCUUUGACUUUCUAAAGUGCUUCUACAGAUGCAUUCACUUGUUUAUUGACAAAGAUCCAGACAUUAUUCCAGCUCCAGGAGAUCAUAGCUAUGAGCAACAAAGGUAAGAUGACAGCCCUCCCCCCAACCACACACACACACACACACACACACACACACACACACACACACACACUUCUGUUGGCUAGGGUGGAUAGACUGUAUUUAUCUGAUGAUGAGUUCAGAGAGUGGUAAAUGUCAUGAGGACCAGAAAGUCAGGCAAGGACCAGCAUGGUGGCUGUGCUGUCCUCCAAGACAGCCGUGGGAGCUCACUUAAAUUGAAGUCUGAAUUAUUGAAAUAAAAUGAGACAAGAAUGCACCUCUUAAGUUCAAUACAUUUGCAUGCCCAGCGCUAACAACCACACAAGGCUAGUGGCUGGUGGCAUGGGUACAGAACACUUGCACCCUUGCAGAACUAAUGGCAAAGAACUAAGAGAGACAGGGCCAAUUCAAACUGGGUGCCAGGAAGGCCUGUCUGAGGAGGGGCCUUGAGCAGGAGUCUGAAAAUGAGAAGAAACCAGUGGCUGGCUGGCAGGGGGCGGAGUCUGGGUGAAGCGGGGUGGUGGUUUGGAUAAGAACGGUCCCUAUUGACUCAUAUAUUUGAAUGCCUGGUCAUCUGGGCAUAACACUACUUGAGAGGAAUUAAGAGGUGUGGUCUUGUUGGAGAAAGUGUGUCACUGGAGGUGGGCUCUGGGCUUUCAAAAGCUCCAACUAGUCCCAGUGUCUCCCUCUCUUCUUGCUGGCUGUGGAUCCAGAUAUAGAACGCCCAGCUACUUCUCCAGCACCAUGUAUGUCUGCCUGCACCAUGCUCCCUGCCAGGAUGACAAUGGACUGAACCUCUGAGACUGUAAGCCAGCCCCAAUUUAAUGCUUUCCUUUGUAUUCACAGCAGUAGAACACUGACUGAGACAAGGGGGCAGCGACGACAGGCAGGCACAUCCAGACUCUGCACAGAGAAAUGUAAGAAUACGUUUGGCAAAGUUGAGGAAGAGAAAUAUUGGCGUGGUUGAAGUGUGAUCUUGGAGUAAGAGGGACAACAGCAGCAAUGAAGUCAAAAGUAAUAAGUAGAGGUGACAGCCGUGCUCACCACGUGACAGCAGGAUCAUCGAGGGAAGUCUUGUGUACAGCAAGCAAUAUCCAGAGACCUUGAAGGACACCCCUGAGAAGGGACCCCGAGAACUCAGCACUCUGGAACACUAGCAGGGGAGGCCGUGUCUUCGUCCAGAGUAAUCCGGGAAUUCAGUGCAGAGCCUCAGAGACCCUGCUGAGCAUUUCCCCAAGCCCAGCACCUCCCCAGCGUCCUGCCCCCAACCCCACCAUUCCUCCCCAAGGCUCACUGUCAUGACUGAGAAGUCCCUAAGGCUGCAAGCUUAGAGCGGCUUUGGUGGUGGCUUGUGAGCUUUAGGCCUGGCGCACAGAGACCAUUCAGUCCCAAGAGUUAUGACUGCUGUCCAGUUCUGUCCUCGAUGCUCCUCCAACCCCACUUACUGCUUGUUUUCAGUCUUUCUAUUUUCCAACAAAGUGACCGUACUAGUUCUCCACCUCUAUCACAAACGCCUGGGAUGAGGUAAAUUCUAGUGAUCAGUAUCAGAGACGUUGACCCAUGGGUUGGUUGGCAUUAUUGUUUUAGCUUUGUGGCAGCACUCUGUAGUAGAAAUAGAAGGCAGAACAAAGUCACUCACCCCACAGCCAGGAAGCAAAAGGGCAGAGAAAGAAACCAGAGCCCCAGAGUCUCACAGUCCGUCCAAGAGCAAGUCCCCGGUGACAGAAAGAAUGCCCGGGGGGGUGGGGGGGGUCUCUCCUGCUGUGUCACCGUCUCCCAAUAGUGUCCAGCUGGGGACCAAACCUUUUUCUAAAAAGUUAUAACACUUUUAUUAAUUAUUUGAGACUUUUAUAAAACAUACCUUGACUGAAGACCAAACUCAACACGUCACUUAUCCAAAAUACAGCAAUGACUACCCUAUCCCACGAACUUUUUUCUUUUAUUGAAAAUAAGGUGGUUUUUUUUCAUGCAAUAUAUUUUGAUUAUGGUUUUCCCUCCCUUUACUCCCCCAAGUUCCUUCCUACCUCUCCUCCAUCCAGAGCCACCCCCUUUCUGCCUCUCUCUCUAGAAAACAAACAGGCAUCUAAGGGAUAAUAACAAAGUAAGAUUCCAUGAGUGUGAUGGUCAUUUGUGGUUGUUAGCUUGACUACCUCUGGAACUAACUAAAACCCAAGUGCCUGGGUGUACCUCUGAAGGGUUUUCUUAACUAAAUCAUUUGAAGUGGGAAGACCCACUUUUAAUCCAGAUCUUUUGAGGUGGGAGGAUCCACCUUUAAUCUGGGCCACACCUUCUGGUGGCAGCCUACAUAAACGACAUGGGAGAAAGAAAUUUGCUCUCUUUGCUUGCUUCCUCUGGGUCUCUCUGGCAAGUCCAUUCCUUCACUGGCAUUAGAGCCCACUCCUUUGGAAUUCUGGUUUAAACUGAUGACUCUCUGAGACAUCCAGCUUCAUGGACUGAACAACUGUUGGAUUCUUGGACCUUCCGUUGCUAACAGUCAUUAUUGGAUUAGCAGGACCACAGCCUGUCAGCCAUUGUAAUAAAGCCCAUAUAUAUUCCCUCUUUUCCUCUAGAGGACCCUGACUAAUACAAAAAGAUAAAACCAAACAAUUAAGAUAGGACAAAGCAAAUAAGGAAAAGAGCCCAAGGAAAGGCACAAGAAAUAGCUACAGAUGCAGAGACUCACUCGUUCCCACACCCGGUAACCCCACAAAAAUACAAAACCAGGAGCCAUAUGUAUGUGGAAAACCUGUAAGAUAGAUAGAUGUAAAAUUAAAUUAAAAUAAAAAGGCCUGAUGUGACAUUAUGAGACAA
This is a long non-coding RNA of Peromyscus californicus insignis, 4460 nucleotides long. RefSeq lists it as uncharacterized. NCBI's taxonomy places the organism in Eukaryota, Metazoa, Chordata, Mammalia, Rodentia, Cricetidae. The record is from RefSeq and is a predicted model, not a curated record. The transcript has 3 exons.